Molecule: long non-coding RNA, 1964 nt
Organism: Photinus pyralis (common eastern firefly)
Lineage: Eukaryota; Metazoa; Arthropoda; Insecta; Coleoptera; Lampyridae
Exons: 2
Source: RefSeq, a predicted model, not a curated record
UGAUAACAGAAUUAAUUUCGUGUUUAAGAGCUAAUCACCAAGAAUAUUAGGUAACAUGCGGUUACAGCAUUUUAUCACGAUAUACAGGACUGCCGUAAUAACCGACUCAUCGAUGAAAUAACUGAUCUGUCCUCACCCGGACGACCCACAUGCAACUAAGUAUCAAGAUGCUUCCAAGCGAACAAUCUUCACCUUCUCACGACAUAGCUCUUCCAGUGGUUCUUCUUGGAAUGCGGAGCGCAUUCAAGGGUUGCCUCCAAUCGUCAUCCGCGAAACUUGUGUAUGGAAAACCCCCUUCCAGAAGAGAUGAUCAGCCCUCCUACCCGCCAGCAAGUACUCAGUGACAUAACAGACAGUCUCUAACAACAGCCUUGGACAGAUUAUGUCACGCAUUCGUCCAACGCCUGCCUCUCGCCAUACUAAAUCGUCCGUUUUUGUGUUUAGAGACCUGGUAACUUGCUCACGUUUUCCUGAGAGCCCGUCUACUUCUUUGCAGAUGCGUUUUGCCUGCCUCUACUAGUGCUUCCGGUUCUCGAAUAUAACACACUUGAUUACAUCACACGUUCCGGCCGGCACGUGCGCUUUUAUCUAAAAGAAUAGGUUUUCUCACUCUCCAGGUGGGUGAUGUGGCGACAUAGGAUUUAAAUAGCAACCGCUGAGCAGGGGCCAUUGCAAUGAAAAACAGAGAGAAAUUUCGAGAAUAAUUUUGAAGGAUAAACGUGUUUCAUAUUAUUGUAAAUUGUGGGCGACCAAAAAUGAGUUGCCUUUGGAAGUUCAAGUUUAAGAUUUCCCAUGUAAAGAAAAAUUCUAAAGGUAACUUGACAGCCAUUUUUGAUCGCAUAGUGUAUCUUGCUCGGUUGAUAUUUUUAAUAUGUUUACAAUACGACAUGGCAUUCAGGUUAGAGAACAAGUGGGUAUUUAUCUAGUUUUCCGAACUGCGGUCGAUGAAGUAAGAAUGGUGCUCUAGGUUAAAGGCGUUUUAAAUGGACCAUAAACAGAUAAGGCAUGUUUGUGAAGAAAUGGCAAAGAGUAAUCUUUGGAAAUGGACACAGGUACACUUAAAAUCGCCAAACCAGCCUUGCCUUUUUAGCGCAGCAACCCCCAUUCAAAACGCCUUUCACAAGGAGCAGACUCUUAGUUGACUGUAUGUACACUGUUCCUAAAACUAGAUAUCCAUUUGCUCUCUAACCUGAAUGCCAUGUGUUACAAUGGCAAAGAUGUAUAACCUCAUACCCUAUUAAUAUAAGCACAGAUGUAUUUCAGUCUGCGAUAUGUGCUCUUCUGUCAACUGCAGGGAGAACAGAGUGAAAUGUUCAAUUGCCUACAACUGCAUGCACUACCACAGAGAAGAAGACUGAAUACAACAUCACGAAAAGAAAGAAAAUUUUGCAGAACGUUCAAGUGAAAUAAUUUCUUGCCUUACUUUGACGUGUGGAAAUAACGGGCGAUCAAAAAUGAGUUGCUGUCGAGUUGCCUUUGGAAGUUCAAGUUAAAUACGAUUUUCCAUGUAAACAAAAAUUCCAAAGGUAACUCGAAAGCAACUCAUUUUUGAUCGCAUUGUAUUUAUUGUUUGAACACCAUUGCAAAAUUGAAAUUUUUGAAUGUACUGUUUUCUCCGUCUAUUUUGUUUUGGUUGAAAUCGCAAAGGCUAGGACAGGAGAAAGAAACAAAUGAAGAGUUACAUUAAUAAUUUAUUCAUACAUCAAUGGUCAAGCGUAAUCGUAGAGCAAGCAAUUUACUUACUCUAUGAUAAUCGAAGCAAACAAGAUAGUCUAGUAGAUUUGUGUUUAAUUGAAGAAAUCUACUAGACUAUCCUGAUGAUUUUUAUUUUGAAUAAGCUUAAGCUGCCCCUUUACUUUCACAAAUAGGCUUUCUAUGGCAAUUAAUUUUACAUUCCCAAUAAUUUUGUGUCAAUUUUCACAGCAAAAAUCGACAGCGUUGCUACAUAGAAAGCCCCUCGUUAA